CGCCUUGCCAGCCCGCUCAGAACCUCAAAGGAAUUGACGGGGGCCCGCACAAGGCAGCGGAGCAUGUGGUUUAAUUCGAAGCAACGCGAAGAACCUUACCAAGACUUGACAUCCCCUGACAGCUGUUGAAAGGCAGUGUCUCUUCGGAGCAGGGAGACAGGUGGUGCAUGGUUGUCGUCAGCUCGUGUCGUGAGAUGUUGGGUUAAGUCCCGCAACGAGCGCAACCCUUGUCCUUAGUUACCAGCACGUUAUGGUGGGCACUCUAAGGAGACUGCCGGUGACAAACCGGAGGAAGGUGGGGAUGACGUCAAGUCAUCAUGGCCCUUACGGCCUGGGCUACACACGUGCUACAAUGGUCGGUACAAAGGGUUGCCAAGCCGCGAGGUGGAGCUAAUCCCAUAAAACCGAUCGUAGUCCGGAUCGCAGUCUGCAACUCGACUGCGUGAAGUCGGAAUCGCUAGUAAUCGUGAAUCAGAAUGUCACGGUGAAUACGUUCCCGGGCCUU
RNAcentral lists this ribosomal RNA (505 nucleotides) under uncultured Pseudomonas sp. RNAcentral's name for it is "bacterial SSU rRNA". It matches the Rfam family "Bacterial small subunit ribosomal RNA", at positions 903 to 1382 of the family's 1533-position model. The record is from RNAcentral. Lineage: Bacteria; Pseudomonadati; Pseudomonadota; Gammaproteobacteria; Pseudomonadales; Pseudomonadaceae.